CAGGACCAUCCUCCCAGGGUUAGUCGAGACCUAAGCCGAGGCUGCGAAGCGUAGGUGAUGGCAAACGGGUUAAUAUUCCCGUACCGAUGUGGGUUGUUGAAGCGGGCAGGGACGGAGAAGGCUAGUUGCACCAGACAUUGGAUGUUCUGGUCUAAGCUUGUAGGCUGACGCUAUACGAUUAAAAGGUAGCGUCAUUAAGGCCGAGAAGUGACGGGCGUGGAAGUCUUCGGACGGACACUAAGCAAUGAUGCCAUGCUUCCAAGAAAAGCUGCACGUUGAGAUUCACAUUGCUCGUACCGUAUACCGACUCAGGUGGGUAAGGAGAGAAUCCUCAGGCGUUUGAGAGAAAUUGAGUGAAGGAACUCUGCAAUAUAACACCGUAACUUCGGGAGAAGGUGUGCCCUUUUUGGUCAUGAACUUCGCGUUCAGAAGCUGAGAAGGGUCGCAGCGAAACGGGGGCGCCGACUGUUUACCAAAAACACAGGUCUCUGCAAAGUCGUAAGACGACGUAUAGGGGCUGACGCCUGCCCGGUGCUGGAAGGUUAAAGGAAUAUGUUAGGGUUAAACCGAAGCAUUGAACUGAAGCCCCAGUAAACGGCGGCCGUAACGAUAACGGUCCUAAGGUAGCGAAAUUCCUUGGCGGGUAAGUUCCGUCCUGCACGAGGGCGUAACGAGUGCCCCACUGUCUCCACUCAGUCCUCAGUGAAAUUGAACUCCCGGUGCAGAUGCCGGGUUACCGCGGCAAGACGGAAAGACCCCGUGAACCUUUACUGUAACUUGGCAGUGAGUGUCGGUUUUUACUGUGUAGAAUAGGUGGGAGACGUUGAUCUUAGGGCGCUAGCUCUGAGGGAGUCACCAGUGAAAUACCACCCUGUGAAAACUGGCUCUCUAACCUCGACCCGUUAUCCGGGUCAGGGACACUGUCUGGUGGGCAGUUUGACUGGGGCGGUCGCCUCCCAAAGUGUAACGGAGGCGCGCGAAGGUUGGCUCAGGCGGAUUGGAAACCCGCCGUAGAGUGCAAUGGCAUAAGCCAGCUUGACUGCGAGGACGACAGACCGAGCAGGUGCGAAAGCAGGUCAUAGUGAUCCGGUGGUUCUGUAUGGAAGGGCCAUCGCUCAACGGAUAAAAGGUACUCCGGGGAUAACAGGCUUAUCCUGCCCAAGAGUUCACAUCGACGGCAGGGUUUGGCACCUCGAUGUCGGCUCGUCACAUCCUGGGGCUGAAGUCGGUCCCAAGGGUACGGCUGUUCGCCGUUUAAAGUGGCACGCGAGCUGGGUUCAGAACGUCGUGAGACAGUUCGGUCCCUAUCUGCCGUGGUCGUUGGAAAUUUGAGAGGACUUGUCCUUAGUACGAGAGGACCGGGAUGAACACACCUCUGGUGCAUCGGUUGUGCCGCCAGGUGCAGCGCCGAGUAGCUAAGUGUGGAAGAGAUAACCGCUGAAAGCAUCUAAGCGGGAAGCUCGCCUCAAGAUUAGAUUUCCUAGGAGGUUAACUCCUCUAAAGAGCCGUUCUAGACUAGGACGUUGAUAGGUUGGGGAUGGAACC
RNAcentral lists this ribosomal RNA (1545 nucleotides) under metagenome. RNAcentral's name for it is "bacterial LSU rRNA". It matches the Rfam family "Bacterial large subunit ribosomal RNA", at positions 1361 to 2874 of the family's 2925-position model. The record is from RNAcentral.